GACGAACGCUGGCGGCGUGCUUAACACAUGCAAGUCGAGCGGUAAGGCCCUUUCGGGGGUACACGAGCGGCGAACGGGUGAGUAACACGUGGGUGACCUGCCCUCAGCUCUGGGAUAAGGCCUGGGAAACCGGGUCUAAUACCGGAUAUGACUCCAUGACGCAUGUUGUGGGGUGGAAAGCCUUGUGCGGCUGAGGAUGGGCCCGCGGCCUAUCAGCUUGUUGGUGGGGNGAUGGCCUACCAAGGCGACGACGGGUAGCCGGCCUGAGAGGGCGACCGGCCACACUGGGACUGAGACACGGCCCAGACUCCUACGGGAGGCAGCAGUGGGGAAUCUUGCGCAAUGGGCGAAAGCCUGACGCAGCGACGCCGCCGUGAGGGAUGACGGCCUGGUU
RNAcentral lists this ribosomal RNA (394 nucleotides) under uncultured bacterium. RNAcentral describes it as "bacterial SSU rRNA". It matches the Rfam family "Bacterial small subunit ribosomal RNA", at positions 28 to 424 of the family's 1533-position model. The record is from RNAcentral.